UGCAUCUAGGGCAAAUAG
This 18-nucleotide microRNA is filed under the name Gallus gallus (chicken). RNAcentral describes it as "microRNA Ros-gga". Lineage: Eukaryota; Metazoa; Chordata; Aves; Galliformes; Phasianidae. The record is from RNAcentral.